Molecule: transfer RNA, 82 nt
Filed under: compost metagenome
Description: tRNA-Ser
Source: RNAcentral
GACCGUGGUGGUGGAGCAGUUCGCGUGCCUUGCUGUGGCGCGAAUGCCCAGGCCGGCGCCGAGCAACUCGGUGACGCGCUUG